CUAUGAUAGUCAUGAAUCGGGAUUAAGCUUGGUACUACCUCUUUGUUUUUUUUUAUUGUUGAAGAAUAAUGGAUAGUUUCUGAAUAUUGAGAAGUGAGUCUAUGGAAUAAAUCAGAGAUUGAUUUAUGAGUUAUUGAUUAUGUAAUUGGAAUACUGAGUAAUUGAAUUAUAUGAGGAGUUAUUAGAUGAUUAUGAUUGUUGUUUAUUGAGAGUUGUGUGUGUUUUGGACAGAGGAAGUCUGUGAUUAUAGAAAUUAUGUGAAUUUAGAUUGGUUGGAGUGAAGUCUGUUAAUUCUGGUGUUGGAUGGAAAUUAUGUGUUUUGAGCGGUCUUUUGAGAGUGCAGGGUUGCAUAUUGUUGUUAUCAAUUGAUGAAGGAGUAUUAUUAUUGGAAGAAAGUAUUAUAAUAUUUUUUGGUAUUUUAGUGGUUCGGAAUAUGAUUAAUUGUGUCACCCUAACAAGUAAAAUUCAUGCACUUAGACUUUCUCUAUGUUCAAAUUUUCCUAUAUAAGUUUAUUCUAAAAGAAAUUGUAGAAUAAGUAAAACAACAAUGAUAUUUUGGUGCCGCUACCAGAGAUAGACAAUAGCAUUGAGUGUUAGGAAUUAACUGCCA
This 610-nucleotide long non-coding RNA is filed under the name Physcomitrium patens. Its description in RNAcentral is "long non-coding RNA (PPAT_LNC012967)". Lineage: Eukaryota; Viridiplantae; Streptophyta; Bryopsida; Funariales; Funariaceae. The record is from RNAcentral.